CCUACGGGUGGCAGCAGUGAGGAAUAUUGGUCAAUGGACGAGAGUCUGAACCAGCCAAGUAGCGUGAAGGAUGACUGCCCUAUGGGUUGUAAACUUCUUUUAUAUGGGAAUAAAACGUUCCACGUGUGGGAUUUUGUAUGUACCAUAUGAAUAAGGAUCGGCUAACUCCGUGCCAGCAGCCGCGGUAAUACGGAGGAUCCGAGCGUUAUCCGGAUUUAUUGGGUUUAAAGGGAGCGUAGGUGGAUUGUUAAGUCAGUUGUGAAAGUUUGCGGCUCAACCGUAAAAUUGCAGUUGAAACUGGCAGUCUUGAGUACAGUAGAGGUGGGCGGAAUUCGUGGUGUAGCGGUGAAAUGCUUAGAUAUCACGAAGAACUCCGAUUGCGAAGGCAGUUCACUGGACUGCAACUGAUACUGAGGCUCGAAAGUGUGGGUAUCAAACAGGAUUAGAUACCCCUGUAGUC
RNAcentral lists this ribosomal RNA (460 nucleotides) under uncultured bacterium. Its description in RNAcentral is "partial 16S ribosomal RNA". It matches the Rfam family "Bacterial small subunit ribosomal RNA", at positions 338 to 795 of the family's 1533-position model. The record is from RNAcentral.